This 457-nucleotide long non-coding RNA is filed under the name Mytilus galloprovincialis (Mediterranean mussel). Lineage: Eukaryota; Metazoa; Mollusca; Bivalvia; Mytilida; Mytilidae. The record is from RNAcentral.
AAGGCUUAAAUUAAAAUAUUGUUUGUUUGCAGUUUACCGACCGACCCUUGAAAAUCCUCCCGACUUUGAAAAUUUUAUUGCUUUAAAUUUGAAGAAAUUUUUUUUAAUACUUCUAUUGACGCGAUCCGGAACUUUGGGUCUUUUCCGGAAAUGAUUUAAAGUCUGGGUCAAUUACGCAUUUCAAGUUUGGUUUUUCUUAGCUUCCCGUCAAGCGUUCAUGUGACCAUUUAAUGAUAAAGCACAUGGAAAUUGUUUACAGGUAUCCAUGAAGUCACGGAGGAGUACUUUACGCUGUCGUCUCGGGUCAAUUUUAAGACAAAUAACAAACAAAAAAGUUUAUUAGUAAACUGUUUAUACAGAUUCAGGCACAUGUAAUGAUGUGUGAUGAUAUCAUUGACGAUGAUGCAGCGGAUAUUCAUAACUGACACGAUAACCAUUCUGUCUCAAACAAAUCGGU